This 429-nucleotide ribosomal RNA is filed under the name uncultured Methylococcaceae bacterium. RNAcentral's name for it is "bacterial SSU rRNA". It matches the Rfam family "Bacterial small subunit ribosomal RNA", at positions 355 to 776 of the family's 1533-position model. The record is from RNAcentral. Lineage: Bacteria; Pseudomonadati; Pseudomonadota; Gammaproteobacteria; Methylococcales; Methylococcaceae.
UGGGGAAUAUUGGACAAUGGGCGCAAGCCUGAUCCAGCAAUGCCGCGUGUGUGAAGAAGGCCUGCGGGUUGUAAAGCACUUUGAGUGGGGAAGAAGGCCUGGGAGUGAAUAGCUUCUGGGAUUGACGUUACCCACAGAACAAGCACCGGCUAACUCCGUGCCAGCAGCCGCGGUAAUACGGAGGGUGCGAGCGUUAAUCGGAAUUACUGGGCGUAAAGCGCGCGUAGGUGGUUAGAUCAGUCUGAUGUGAAAGCCCCGGGCUUAACCUGGGAAUGGCAUUGGAUACUGUUUAACUGGAGUGUGGUAGAGGGUAGUGGAAUUUCCGGUGUAGCAGUGAAAUGCGUAGAGAUCGGAAGGAACACCAGUGGCGAAGGCGGCUACCUGGACCAACACUGACGCUGAGGUGCGAAAGCGUGGGGAGCAAACAGG